UCCUAGCCCUGAUGGCAGUGAAACCCCUUAUGAAUUAGCGUUGUGUUUUUUCUUGGGUUAAAAGAGCGACCAAAGGAAGCUCCUUUUUAGCCUUAGAAAAAACAACGCUAAAAGUAAGGGUGGAGCGUACAGCAGGAAAUAGC
Molecule: small RNA, 143 nt
Filed under: Flavobacterium fryxellicola
Lineage: Bacteria; Pseudomonadati; Bacteroidota; Flavobacteriia; Flavobacteriales; Flavobacteriaceae
Description: Flavo-1 RNA
Rfam family: Flavo-1 RNA
Source: RNAcentral